RNAcentral lists this long non-coding RNA (910 nucleotides) under Homo sapiens (human). Its description in RNAcentral is "HSALNT0162793". Lineage: Eukaryota; Metazoa; Chordata; Mammalia; Primates; Hominidae. The record is from RNAcentral.
CUUCUGAGAAAUUAGUUUCUCUCUUAAGGUAAAACCUGUGGAAGAGGCCAUCUCUCUUUUCCCUUGGGUGUUGUGACAUGUGAAAGACAGCCACAGAUUUUCGUUUGCCUAGGACAGUUCCAGUUUAUGCCCACUGUCCUACAGGGGACUGUUUGACGCCAGAGUGGAGACGGUCAGGCAGCCACUCGGGCCUUGGAAGCAAAGUCAAAAGUUGAAUGUACAGCUGGUAUAAAAAUGGUGCUUUGUCGUCAUGAAGAAGGUGUAUUCUGGGAUCAAACCACCUGGCUGGAGAUGCUUACUAACCUCAGUUUCUUCAUCUGACCUUACCUUUCUAAAAGAAUAAGAAGAAGAUGAUACAUAUUCCUCUAAAGUCCCAACAGGAACCUUUUCCCCUCACUCCCUCCCCAGAGAUGUGUAUCAUUUCCAUGAGUGUCUGUACUUUUACAACAUGUGCAUAUUAAUAAACAAAAUAUGACAAAUUAUUUUGUCUUAAUAUUUGCAUAAAUCUAGCCAUACUCUACACCACUUUUGCAACUUUCACUAUUAUAUAUUUUGAAGAUUAUCCGUGUUUAUGCACAUAAGUUUAUCAUUUUAACUGUUGAAUAGUGUUUCAUUAUAUGAAUUAACCAUAAUUCAUCUAUUUCCCUGAGUGACAAUUAGGUUUCUUUUUGUUUUUAUGCUCUGAUGAACAAUCUUGCAAUUAUUAUCUUUGUAUAUGUCUUCAUGUAUAAGAAAUUCUCCAGGGUAGACACUUAGAAGUAAAGGGUCUGACUCAGAGAGUCUGUGUAUUUUAAAAUGUAUUGGUUAUUGUCAAAUUGUUCCUCAAAGUAGAUGUACCAAUUUACAUUCCUACAGUGGUAUAUAACAGUUUUUUUUUCUCCACAUCCUCUUCAACACUCGUCAUUACCAG